GAUCAUGGCUCAGAUUGAACGCUGGCGGAAUGCUUUACACAUGCAAGUCGAACGGCAGCACGGACUUCGGUCUGGUGGCGAGUGGCGAACGGGUGAGUAAUAUAUCGGAACGUGCCCAGUCGUGGGGGAUAACGUAGUGAAAAUUACGCUAAUACCGCAUACGAUCUAAGGAUGAAAGCGGGGGAUCGCAAGACCUCGCGCGAUUGGAGCGGCCGAUAUCAGAUUAGGUAGUUGGUGAGGUAAAGGCUCACCAAGCCAACGAUCUGUAGCUGGUCUGAGAGGACGACCAGCCACACUGGGACUGAGACACGGCCCAGACUCCUACGGGAGGCAGCAGUGGGGAAUUUUGGACAAUGGGCGCAAGCCUGAUCCAGCAAUGCCGCGUGCAGGAAGAAGGCCUUCGGGUUGUAAACUGCUUUUGUACGGAACGAAAAGGUCUGGGUUAAUACCCUGGGCUCAUGACGGUACCGUAAGAAUAAGCACCGGCUAACUACGUG
This 497-nucleotide ribosomal RNA is filed under the name uncultured bacterium. Its description in RNAcentral is "bacterial SSU rRNA". It matches the Rfam family "Bacterial small subunit ribosomal RNA", at positions 15 to 507 of the family's 1533-position model. The record is from RNAcentral.